This 457-nucleotide ribosomal RNA is filed under the name uncultured Anaerolineaceae bacterium. RNAcentral's name for it is "bacterial SSU rRNA". It matches the Rfam family "Bacterial small subunit ribosomal RNA", at positions 910 to 1382 of the family's 1533-position model. Lineage: Bacteria; Bacillati; Chloroflexota; Anaerolineae; Anaerolineales; Anaerolineaceae. The record is from RNAcentral.
UUGACGGGACCCGCACAAGCAGCGGAGCGUGUGGUUUAAUUCGAUGCUACACGAAGAACCUUACCAGGGUUUGACAUGUUGGUGGUAGGAAUUCGAAAGAUGACCGACCCUUCGGGGAGCCUUCACAGGUGCUGCAUGGCUGUCGUCAGCUCGUGUCGUGAGAUGUUCGGUUAAGUCCGCUAACGAGCGCAACCCUCGCUGUGUGUUACAAGUGUCACACGGGACUGCCGGUAUCAAGCCGGAGGAAGGUGGGAUGACGUCAAGUCAGCAUGGCCUUUAUGUCCUGGGCUACACACACGCUACAAUGGUCGACACAAUAGGUAGCCAAGCCGCGAGGCGGAGCCAAUCCUUAAAGUCGGCCUCAGUUCAGAUUGUAGGCUGCAACCCGCCUGCAUGAAGAUGGAGUUGCUAGUAACCGCAGGUCAGCAAUACUGCGGUGAAUACGUUCCCGGGGUUU